UUGGCUUACGUUGCCUUAUAUUUGCUUAAAAUGAAGGUUAAAGAGAGGGCGUACAGGCUGGGAGUUCAGAGGUAGCAGGAUGAAGAAACGACUGAAGGAACCUGACUUCCUACCAUGAAAAAGGUCUGGUGUGAAAGAAAGGAAUACCUGUGAAAAGUCAAACAUCUCAUCACAUACAAACCAAAUCUUCCCAGGACCUAUUAAAAUGUAACUGUAUUCUUGGUGAACUGUCUGCCUGUGUAGUGAAGGGAAAAUGGGACAUCUACGGAAUGCAGAAAGCCUUUUCUUUCAGGAAGAUUAGCCCUGAACUAACUACUGCCAGUCGUCCUCUUUUUUGCUGAGGAAGCCUGGCCCUGAGCUAAUAUCCGUGCCCAUCUUCCUCUACUUUCUACGUGGGACGCCUACCACAGCAUAGCGUGCCAAGCGGUGCCAUGUCUGCACCUGGGAUCCCAACCAGAGAACCCUGGGCCACUGAGAAGCGGAACGACAUCAGCAAAUGUGACAUAAACAGAAGCUUCAUACACCCUUGUGCAUUGAGGCUGGCCCUGUUGGAACCCUGGGAUCACGAUGUUACGAGGACUCAUGGUCUAGCCUCUCUGAGAUGAUCCCAGCCAACCCUCUGGUUGAAUGCAGCCACAGGUGAAGUCAGAAGAACCAACAAGCAAACACUCAGAAUUAGGAAAAAUAAUAAAUCCUUAUUGUUUUAAGUCAG
This 712-nucleotide long non-coding RNA is filed under the name Equus asinus (donkey). RNAcentral's name for it is "lncRNA (ENSEASG00005030647.1)". The record is from RNAcentral. Lineage: Eukaryota; Metazoa; Chordata; Mammalia; Perissodactyla; Equidae.